GAUCUCAGCCAACGCGACGAAACGGUAGGACGAAUGUGACCAUCAAUUCGUUGCACCGUUUCGUCGCGUCUUCUAGACACCGCUACGCGUGCUGCCCUCAAUGGCACAAUUUUAAUUCUUUCGCUCUGUCAACAGCAGACGUUUUGGGCGCGAAAAAUCAUGUAAACAGUAUUUUGUGGUAUAUUUGUGGAAAAGAAAUGGGGAAACCUAAUAGAAAACGAGAUUCAUUGAAGUCCAUUAAUAAAGAAUUAAGAAAGGAAAGAAGUGCGGUUUUAAGAAGACGCAACUUGUCUGAAGUGGGUAGAGGAAACGGUUGCAAAUUGAUGAGCGAAGCGAAAAAACGGAGAAAUUAUCAUUCAGAUCAAAGAUUUACAGGGCACUCCUUCUUUGAAUCUUCCUGUAAGCCCCACUGCUGCUUCCCCCAUUCCUUCAAGCUGUCCUCCGCUAAAUGCUGAUGAUACUUGGAUUGUCAUCUUUAGGAAAGAGAUCGAUGGGACCACUGUUAAGAUGAAAUUUCCAAAAUUCCAUGAAAAUCGAGUUGGUGGGCUAAUCACUAUCAACGGAGAAAAGUACUUAUGUGCCGCCAUUCAACAAAAGGGUUCUCAGCAAACUGCAUGCUAGAACUUACGUGACCCUAUAUUAUUUCCUCAACUUUUCUAAAUUCAGAUAAAAUUUUUAAAAUUCUACAAAAUUCGAUUCUGCUGUGAAUGAGCCUGCGUACUCCAAAAAAGAUCAUUCCUUUUAUCAAGUCUUCUAUAAUACAGAUAAAUUUCUCAAAAUUACACAAAGAUUGAAGGAAUGGAAUAUUCACUAAAACUAGAAAAAUAUUAAGCGGAUGUUCAAAGGAAAGGUCCACAAUGC
Molecule: long non-coding RNA, 861 nt
Organism: Daphnia magna
Lineage: Eukaryota; Metazoa; Arthropoda; Branchiopoda; Diplostraca; Daphniidae
Exons: 5
Source: RefSeq, a predicted model, not a curated record